GGUUAAGGUGCCCGAUUCCGACGCUCAUCAGACCCCAGAAAAGGUGUUGGUUGAUAUAGACACCAGGACAGUGGUCAUGAAAGUCGGAAUCCGCUAAGGAGUGUGUAACAAUUCACCUGCAAAUCAACUAGCCCUGAAAAUGGAUGGUGCUGGAACAUCGGGCCCAUACC
Non-coding RNA from Pelobates cultripes (western spadefoot toad), 170 nucleotides. NCBI's taxonomy places the organism in Eukaryota, Metazoa, Chordata, Amphibia, Anura, Pelobatidae. The record is from the annotation of a GenBank genome assembly.